UACUCUUCCUGUGUGUUGUUGGUGGCAAUACACAACUCUAAGGAGUGUUAAUUACACGUGGAUGCCGCACUUGGAAGACAACAAGACUUGCUCUCUACGUCUUUCUCUCCGUCCGUCCCUCCGUCUCUGCCCAUGCUCAUGUGUAGACCUCUCCACUGUUGUGUCUGAGGAGAAGACGCUAUCGGCAGGGUAUACUAGAUAUGUUCGGUGUAUGUGAACUUGUGAAUGUGUUGGAUAUCGCCACUGUGUCAUAAUGGACGACAGCAAAUAGAAACAUGCAUGCAGACAGUAUUUCACCAUGCCCGCAACUCAACUGUUACAACUCAACUCAACCGUAACAACUCAACUCAACUCAAUGAGGCAUUUAAGAAACAACUCAGUCGUGUAGACUGCCUAGCUAUACAGCUCUAGCAUAACUUAGCGUCGGAGGAGGAAGGAGCGCUGAGGGCGCUAUACAAAACCGUCCAACUCAACAUGAGGCUGCCAUUUUUCUCAGGCUUCCUGACCACCAGGAAGCUGGUCAUACUGCUGGCUUGGUAUGCCAUCGUCAUGGUAAUAGCGAUAUUCACAUUCUCACACACACGCUGGAAAGAGGAAUCUAAUUUAUUACGCGUCUACAACUCUCUCUUCUUCGUGCCCAGCGACGUGCCUCUUGUGAGAGACUCUUUACCUACCCGGCUCCCGGAAAACAUCUACAGGCGUAACGUUACGAACAGGUGGGAAAAUUCAAGUGUGUGGCUGCCCUUUGACCCGGAUACAGGGGAAUUCAGGUACCGGUACGCGUCAAGAACGCAUCCGCAAAGAACUAGCAGAUUAGAUGCGCUCAAGGAGAGUUUACUACGUAGAACAGGCAAUAGUAGUUCGUUGUCAACUCUGGUGCUUAUAAGGAAUAUCUCAAACGGGCGGCUUCUGUCGGAGACGCUCAACGAGGAUUUGUGGAGGGAAAAUGGGAAGAGUAGAACUCGUAAUGAAUCGCUGGCCGGCGUCUUGCAGGAGCUGGUCGGGGAUGAAGUGGGGGACCUCUUGGGCGAGGAUAAGUACAACUCGUAUAAUAGCUCAAUGCUCUUGGCUGCCAUUGAGAGGAACAUGCAGAAGAUUCGUCAGGAGACGGAGAUUAGCUUAAAACACUUGUCGCACCUUACCGGCAUUUUAAACGGGAGCAUGGCCGGCAACGGCUCCUCCAAAGAAGGUGAUCUCUCCGAAAAGUUUAAAGACAGGGUACAAGACGAUGACGAUGUCCUUCCUGGCAGUCUGAGGAUAGGUGUGAACCAAGAUCGUUAUGCGUAUGAAGGAAGGACAAAACAGGGUACAGGGAGUGCAAAGGGUGCCCUCUCUGCCAAACAGUCAGACAGGCCCAGUCUGCUAAGUGUGCUAAUAGGAAAAGACCUUCUUGAGGAUAAUAAUAAACCAAAGCCCGCUGCGAGGGCAAGCAUUAUACGAGAACUAACAAAGGAUGCUUCGGUCAAUUCGACAGCGUCUAGUAAUUCUACCAGUACUCCACUUUCAACUGAAACUCCAGAAGUUGAUGGAUAUUAUCGCAUCGAUACCAGAAGGAAAUUACGACUGCAGUGCAGUUCAUGUGCGGUGAUCUCCAGCUCCGGUCAGCUUCUUAAUAGCAGCGCUGGUGCGCAGAUUGACACAUACCCUUGUGUCCUGCGCAUGAACAGCGCCCCCACCAGUUCAUAUGAGAAGGAUGUAGGCUCUAAGACAACAGUCAGGGUCAUGGGUCACGUCAAUCUAUUAAAGGUCAACCAGAGCAACACAGAGCAGAUGGAGAUCUUCAUUAACAAGACAACGAGAACCGAGAUGCUGGUCAUUCCUUGGCUCUACACUACCCGCAUCAACAAGAGACGGGACAAGCACUACAACAUCGCUAAGAACUUCUCCAAGGUCUACCCGGACACAGAGUUCUACGUCCUAUCCUCAGGGAAGAUGAUCUCAGCGGAGAGCAUCUUCCAGCGGGAGACGGGCAUCACAAGGAAAGAUGCCAAGACGUGGCUUUCCACCGGCUGGAUGACCCUUCUCUUUGCUCUGGAUGUCUGCCAGAAGGUUGAUGUCUUUGGUCUGGUGCCUGAGAACUAUUGCAGAGUGCAUCCGAAUGAUACCACACCGUACCAUUACUACGACACCGAGUUCAAAUCCCAGUGCACCUACUACAAGGAGAGCGAGGAGCACCUCACGUUCGGUCAUCUCUUUGUGACGGAGAAGGCCAUCUUUGCUCGCUGGGCCAUGAAGUUCAACAUCAACUUCCUCUACCCGACCUGGAACCUGACCAUCUCCAACUCCUCUGGGCCGCUGGACACGCCGUUCAUCAAGCUCUUCCAUGAGGCGCAGCACAACAAGACCAAGCAGAAGACCCAUCGCCACCGCUCGUUCCUCGGCGCCCGCAUCCGACCCCGCAAGCCGCCCGUCAUCGGUCCCAAGACCAAGGAGGAGGCGGAGAAGGAGAAGUACCAGAAGCUGACCCACGCCAUCAUGUUCAUCGUCGCCAUCUUCCUCAGCUUGGUGGUGUUUCUGCUUCUGUUUUUACUGCAGCACAUGAUGCUGGAAGGGGAAGAGGAGGAUGACGCUGACGGCAGAGACCGCCAGUGGGUCAGUAAUAUGGAGAGGGCGACAUUCAGCCGCUACCGACAUAACCUCAGCUAUUGAAAAAAUAUAUGUGAACCCUUGCCAUUCCAUGUGCUAUUAAAAAAAAAACAGGUGUCCAUUCAUGCGAUAUAGAAACACUGCUCAUUCCUGUUCAUCUUUAGCCAAGUGAGGGCGCAAUAAGCGUCCUGGCUGUACCUCCGCUGAAAGUUCCUUGGAGUCUAUAAAACGCUGAAAGUUAACUUAAUAAGCACUAGCUUCAACUUGUAAGCUUCAUUCUUACUGCCACUAUUGUUUAAAGAAUACACAGCUUAAAUUCUCAAAUGUGAACAAUUGCUGUUGAUACACACUUUGCCAUAUGUAAAUGAAAUGGCCAUGAUCACAUGGAAAGAUGAUACGCUAUUCUAGGUGGCAGUAAGAACAAAGCUUACAAUCUGUGUGCGGUCUCAACUAACAGUAUGCAUAGUUGUAGUCAUUUUUUUUUACCUCAUACCUCUGAAUUUGGGCAUCAUGGUUACUUUCCAUUACCACUAUGCAACACAUCCAACUCCAUUGACAUGUAGUGUAGCGUAGGUUUGGUGUAUUUUUGUUUUUUGUUUGAAACACACUGUACUAUAAAGUUUCAUAUUCGUAACUGCAUUUGUUUUUUAAAGGUACUAUCGGAUACUCAAAAUAUCAUUGGGCAAAACUUGUCAUGUGUGUUCUGUCCAACAAGUUAAAUCUAGAUAGCAAAACAAAAAAGAUAAGUUUAAAAAAAAGUACUUCUGCAAGAUUUAUAUCUGUUUGGUUAAUCCAACUGACUAAUAAAAUAAAGCAAGGUUAGAAUGGACUUAAAAAUCAUCUUAAUCGGAUAAAUACUUUGGCUUGAAUUUCCAGUGGAUGAAACAUAUUGAAAUGCAUGUUAGAAUAAAAUGUAAUCUUAUGCAAGGAAUCAUAGGGGCUCGAGCUGUGUCUUAAUGCUUUUGUUUCUUAGCAAAAAAUAAACACAAAAAACUAACGAGAUUUAAACUAAAGACUAAAUGAUAUUUUGAAUGGCAGUUUUUAAUAUUUAUCCUCUACAGAGCCAGAAGGUCAUUUGUUUGUGCUUUGUUAUACUUUUCUUUAAGCUUUGUGGAAUAAUUCCCUUGUGGCUCUUUGCCAAUUUCUAAUCCAUGUUUCUUUACACUGCAUUCACAAAGAAAGUAUCAGAAGAACAAUGCAGAUAUUACCUUUAAUUGUGUGGUCUUCUUUAGAGCUAACAGCAUUGUUUAAUAGUGGUAAGACAUCCUCCCUUGUAGGAACACACCAUCGAGUUCUUGUGGCUUUAUAUAGGUACACAUGUAUGUGGGUUGUGGUAGAAGCUAGGUUCAUUCAUACAUAUUAAUCGCAUUAUACUCUCCCUCAUAUCAUUUCUGUUUUCAAGUUUCAUAUUUUUUUGAUAUCUUCUUUUCUUUUCACUGCAAAUUUUGUUUUUCUUUUCAUUUUUCACCCUGUUGGCAAAAUAAUCACAGCUCCUAAAUACAUUUCUGUUGUGCACUCUGGUGUUUCGAAUCACUGAACAUCAAAGUAGGCCUGCAUUUGGCACUUUUAUAAAUACUUUCCAUCUAAAAAUGAGAUACAUGUACAUAUGGGAUAAUGAAUUGGACAUUUUGUAAAGCUUGAAUAUUCCAUGUUGGGUUUACAAUGGCACUAUUGCCAUGAUAGUGAUAUGCUGUUGAUAGGUAUGCAAUAAAUUGAUCAGGAGACUAUCUUGUAUUAUGACUAAAAGAUUCUCAUAUUGACAAAUAUCAGAAUCAUAUUACUAAACAAUAAUAAUUGGCUGUAAUGGGAUAUCGUAUUAAAAUGUUGAGUAUAAUCAUGUACAUGCUCAAUAAAAAUUUAUGAGCAGUGAGUUCUUAUGCGUUUCUGUUUUUGUUAAAGAACAAUAUUCAUAGGAUUGUUCCUGUUCUUCAGUUUUACUUUAAUACACAGAAACAGGGAUAUAUAUACGAGUGAUUUGUUAGGAGAUAGAAAGGAAACAAAUUCAGUAGUGCAUAGAAUUCUAAGCAUCAUAUAAACUCUUGAGCUAGCCAACACCAAUGUCUUUUGUUAAAGAUAAAACAUUAAUAGCAUUGUCCCUGUUGUUCGUCAUAGAAACAUUGAUAUUUAUAAGAGAUUUGUUAGAAUUCAGUUGUGCAUGAGAUUGAAAUGUUAAUAUUUGAUGUACUAUACCUAGCAAUAGGGAUAAAGGCUCUUGAAAAUCAACAGAGGUUUGAGGUAAAAAAAAAAAAUGAGAGAAAGAGAAAGCAACUAAUGCAUACUACUAGAACAUCAAGAAAAGAAAAGAAAAGAAAAGAAAAGAAAAGGAGGAAAUAUUUCCAAGAUUCAGAGGAAAUACUUUUUGUGAAGAAAUUAGUGAAGAAAUUGCUGAACUUUUAUUGCUAAAGAGGAAUGAGCAGUGAGUUCUUAUGCGUUUCUGUUUUUUAAUAUCAACUGAAGCUAUGAACUUUUAAUUAAUCUAUGAAAUAUGAAUUGAAUGUAUUCCCCAUUUCAAGGCAGCCCUAGAUUUUCAUUUUUGAUAACAAUUUACUCAAACUUUCUCCUUUGCAUCUGCUGGUUAUACUCAUUCGUUUCUGUCAUAUUCCAUUUUCAUGAUCUGUCCUCGAAUGCACACUGUUCAGUGUUUGUGCCACCCUAUUGCUUUCAAAUUUCCAAUGCCGUAGAGAGAUUAUUGUUUAGGGGAUAGAGAAAAAAACAUACAUUUUAAAUUUUCUUUUGUGGCUGUUGUUGCGGACACUUCUCCAUUCUUCGCAUUUUAAAGCAAUUAGUGCCUUGACAAAAUACAGACCUUUAAUCGUCCCUCUCCCAUAUCUCACUUUCACUUUCAUCGUAAUUGAUAAUUCCCAGUGGUUCUGCGCCGUCCCCCUGAUUGUAGAAGAAAGAUAAGUCUUUACAUGCAUGCAUGAGAAAUGGCUAUGUGCAUCAUCUAUCACUGUCUUCUCCGAACGACAUUCAAAUUUCUUGUGUUUGCUUGAGUGCAUGCCCUAAUGUGAGAAUUGCAUGGUAGAUAGAUAGUUUUUACACCAUUGUAGAUCAGUUAUCCUAGCAUCUAGCACAACCCACAUAUCUGCAUACUCUCAAAAAUUGACUGAUCAGAGAGAGAGAGAGAGAGAGGUGAUAUCAAUUUUUUUCUUUGUGGUCUGUCUGCUCAAAAUCACCAUUAAUUCAAAGGAUAUUUUUUCUUCUUUCUUUUGUGUAUUUGUAAACUAGAGAUUUCAAGCUUUCCAAUGAUAUAUGGCAUGCAAUUAUGUAUUCUGCUAAAACCUAGACAAUGCUGGGUUAAAAGCUUGGUGUAAAAGUUUAGUUUGACAAAAGAAGUGAGGAUGAAGACUAAGACAAAUCAAAGACAACAUGAGCAAUGAAGGUUUGUGAUAUCUGCUGGUAGAAGUCUAAAGAUAGUAUCUUUGAAAACAUUGCAGAAACUGUCACUAUCAAAGACAACAUUGGAGCAAUAGAGGUUUUGUAUAUCUGCAGGUUUAGCUGUAAAGCUAUCGAGAGUAGAAGGGUAAUAAGGAAACCAUUAAGAGUUUACUUACUGUCAAAGCAUGGUCAUAUAGGUAUUACAUUUCUUUGCAAAGCAGUGUUACAAUGUUGAUUUUUUUUUUGUAACUUAAGCAGUUUCAGUUUUGAAUAAGGCAUAAAGGGAAAAAAUAUUAUAUUGGUAUAUUUGAUGCAUACACAGUAGGCCUGUCUUCAUCAGCUCAAGUUUGCCAAAUAACCCGCUAUUUUUAGACUGGGGAUAUUAUCCCGAAGCUCGAAACUGCAUCUUCACCAGACUGAAACGCUCAUGGCAAACUAGCUUGGACGGGCACAAAUUAGCCCGCUAUUUCCCAAGUAGCGUGAUAUAUUGGAAACAAGAUCAACAUUUCUUGGGAUAUAUUCUCAACCAAAUAACCCGCUAUUUGCAACUGCAGGCUGAUGAAGACGCAAAUGAACUUGUUGAUUUGCGAUCGGAAUAGUUAAAAUAGCUGGUUAUUUGGCAAACUCAAGCUGAUGAAGACAGGUCUAGUAACCUCAACUCCUUCCAAGAAUUUGUUAUGCGUUAGACUGUUGUCUGCAUGAAAGUGACGAUAAAGCUGAAGUUGUAAGUGUGAAAGAGUCCUCACUAUUUAACUUUCUGACAACAUUUGAUCCUGCCCAUGUCUAUUGUUUUCAGAGAUGCAUUUUAUUAGAACAAUGUAGUAAUGGAAGAAAAAUAUAAUUGUUGCCAAUGUGAAGGACAAUGUGUUAUCAAUUUAGCCCUAAAAAUAAAUCCUGUCCUGAAAGCAUUAAAGAUAACCAAGGAUCACGUACAGUAGUAAUUUUUCUAUUGAUAAAAAUGUUCGUAAUGCAAAGGUAAUAAAACUACUCUGUUAAAAGAAAAAGAAAUUGAAGAUGGACAUGUAUCCAGGCACUAUGUAAUGUUAUCACCUAUUGAAAGUACUUUUGAGUAACAUUGUUAGGAAAGUGUUUAAAACCACUUGGAAUCGUUUUGUUGUGUUUUUAAAAAGUAACUUUAAGUCUAUUUAUAAGCAUUAUAUUCUACUCUUACAAAACCACCAACUGGAAGGACGGAAUGACGUACAAGAUUAAUUACUACCCUCCUACUACACAAAAUAGCAGCAUUUUGUUUCAAUAUAAAAGCAUUAUUUCCUUUUAUAAAAAAAUGCUUUUAUUAAAGAUGUUUUUGAUAAUGUGCAUAUAAACCUAACAAUUUUUGUGUUUGAUUCAGUAUUACAUGGCAAUGUUUGCACCAUCUCUCCAUAUUUGUUACUCUAAUAUGGACCCAUUCUCUUGCCAAUCAAUACCCAAAUUAGUGGAUUAGAUAAUGGGGAUUAAUUUUUGAAAACAUUGGUGCUGGGUAGUUUUGAUGUUUUCAUUGGUGGAGUUUGCUCAGAUUAACUAUGCAGAAAGUAAAGAGCGGGACUACAUGGAUACCAAGGCUCCAGUAUCAGUAUAAUAAUCAUAAUUAUUUGUUGUUGUAAAUAUGGAAUAUACAAUUGUGCUAACUCUUCUGUUGCUUUACCAAAUUUUGUAAACUGCCAAAGCAAGUACCAUGCACUCAGAGUUAUGACAUUGAAUAAUGGAAGAUUUUAAUUUUGUUUUAAUUGUGGGAAUACAGGAAGGACUAAUAUGUCAUCUCAAAAUUUUCUUUCUUUCUUUUCUUAUCCCUUUUUUAAUGGUUUUUUGUUUGUUUGUUGAUUAUGUGUUAUUAAUUCUGUAUAAAUUGUAAAUUGAAUUAUUGUACUUGGUAUUUUUUCAUUGAAUAAUUAUGAUUUGAAUUUGAGGGGUUUUCUUUUUUUUUCUUCUCUCCCAAGUACUUAUGCAUUUAUGUGCACCAUUUAUGAAGAACAAGGAAAUUAGUAUGAAACAUUGAUUGUGUAGUAAUACAUGAUUGCAAUCUACAUGUACUCGCUCUGUUAGUGUCUACAUGUACACAUAUUUAAUUGUUAAUUCUUCGGAUAAUGUUAGAUUUUUUUCCUUCAUAACACGGACACACUAUAUGAUACAUGUGCAUGCGUGUAUAUGUUAUGUGAAAAAGGGGCAUUGUAUUGAGCAGGUUAAAGGGAGAGAUCAAAAUAAAUGGCUAUAAACAUUGCUUGAGCAGAAGAAUGUAUAUGAUGUUCUGAGUUUAGACAAUAACUAAAUCUUAUCUGUGAAUAUAUUUCUUGUUCAAUCUGUAUAUACAAUUUUUGCAAAAUUAUUGCCUGGUUCUGUGCCUCUUACUUUAGCUAUUAAGCAGGUAGGAUAUUCUGACAAAACUUGGAUGGAAAUACAUCCUUUUGCUUCUAAGCCAACUAUCUACUUUAUGAGUAUAUCUGGUGAGUGCCAGAAGGACUAAUGUUCAGCUGACUGUACAAAACUUAAGACCUUUAGUCUCGUUAUAAUCUAUAAUUCGAUGUUGAUAAUAUGAUGGAAGAAUAUCUCGAGUUAUACUUGUUUGUAUAUGUUAUUGAAAAGUGUGAAAUAUUAUGAUAUAUUGUGGAACAUGUUCUAUUUAUUUUAUUAUAUAUUUAUAUAUAUGUGUUGGUUGAUAAUUCCUCUUGCACUGUUGUUUCAAAUGUGGGCAUCACUCUUGAUGAAUGUAAGAGUAUGAUUAAUGUAUUUCAUUUGACAAUUGUAAGAUGGACCUGCAUUACAAGAUAUUCAUCUCCAAUCAUGUACAGUGUUGCUUGAUGUUAAUGCACAUGAAUGCAAAACCAUUUGUUUCACCAUGUAAUUUCUGAAGAAAGCAAAGUAGAAUAGGAGGUGUACAGAUUAUCUGUUACAGAUUAAGGAGGAAAAAAAAUAGUUGUUAUUGCGAUUUCUUUUGCAAAUGGUGUCAUCUCAGAAAUCAAAAUAAGAGACUGCAAUUUUCCUAACCUGAGAGAACUUAUUAGAAAUAGCUUUCCCCUUAAUCCCUCUGGUAGACCAGAUCAAGAGCUUGAUUCAACUGCUUUAUGACUUGGAAUAUAUCUUCACUCAAAAAGAUUUUCCAUAGGUGUAGAUUUGGUCGAAGGAAAUAGGAUGGCUCAGAUUCCUUGAUUAUCUUUAAUGCUGGCAAUUCUAUCAGCUAAAAUGUCAGCAUUAGCAUUUUAGAAUAAUCUUUUUAAGGUACCUUGAUGGCAUUUGAGUUAGUACCUGACCUGUACAAAGUGAUGCACUGCCCUUCGUUUUCAUUUGAGUACACUCAAUCUGUUUUUUGAAAUAUUUUAAAGCUUCAAUUCAUGACAGUAAGAUUUCUCAUGUCCACUGCCCCCCCCCCCCAAAAAAAAAAAAAAAAAUCUUCCAGCUAAGAUAGAUGUGUGUUUGUAAUAUUUGUUCAUUUUUUUGUUUUGAAUUGUUGGAAAGUAGCAUCGUUUUUUAAAAUCACGAUUUGGUCCUAAAUAUUUUGUUUUUGGUAUAUUUGUUUAUCUCCCGAAGUCAGCUCCAUUGGAUUAAUAUGCACACCAUUUAGAGACUGUAAGAGCAGUAUAAUCGAUGUACAUGUAGGUACUUAUCUCGAUAUUAAACAAAAAGGUGUCGGAUGAUCGAUGGACAAGAAAUCAUGUCAAUAUGAGAUAGAAAUGUGCUUUAUCAAUGUCUAACCUAUGUAACCUAUGUAACCUAUGUAUCAUUCACACAUUAACCCAGUAAACCACCCUCAUGGAAAAUGAAAGAAAGAAGAAAAUAAAAAGAUGGGGAAAAAAUGCCAAAGCAAAGUAAAAAAGUUGAACAACUCAAUUAUCUCUGGAUUAAAAUAGCAUCACCAACAUGAUGACUAUCUUUGUUGCCAAAGGAUCUACAACUCGACUUAAUCUAGGAUUUAAAUGUUUAUUUUUUAUUUUUUAUACUUUUGUGUAUUAAUUUUCUUUAACUCGUGUGGGCUUUUGGGAACAAUAUAUACCUAAUCUUAGCUAACUAAACUCAACAUGUACAAGGUGGAGUAGUGUAAGGAAUUGAAUGCCUUACAUUAUGACACACGUUCGAACCCAUAUUAUGUUUAUUUUAAUGUAUUAAUGUGCAUCAGUAUUAUUUCUUUUUGAAUGAACCAUGUAUGUGGUGCACCUGCAAUGCUUGAUUGUGGAUAUAGUACACCAUUUGUUAAAAACAAAGUGAUAAGAAAAUUUGUUAUCUGUGUCCUACGUUUUCUGAAGCAUGGUGGAAUAUUAAAAUGAUUAUCACCCAAGCAUUGGUUUCCUCGAUUAUUUGGUCUGAUUGUAAAUGCAAAGGAGAAAUUGGCAGUAUUAAUCUGUGAUCGUUCUAGAUCAUAGAAACGUAGAAGUAAUGUGUCAAGUAUUGGCAAGUGUAACUGCAUCACCAAAAAAUCUGCCAUGAAGAGCAUUACGACAGCUUACCAGGACACAUUUAAGUGAGCGAUUUGAAAAUGAUAGCAACGUUCACACUCACACAAUCUUCAAGGAGAUCAGAUGUGCGUUUUCCUCUGAUAUUGUUCCCCCAUUAAAUAUAUCAUUUGAAAUGUCACAUUGUUUGUAAGAUUAUGUUAUAAAAUUUUCCUUUACUUUUACAUUAUUUUAACUCAAUAUAUUUAGGGUGACAAUUACGCUAUCAAAUGGGUGUUUUAUCGAUCAUGUUAAACAAAACGCUGAUGAGACGAUUCACCACAACCAUGAUGUAUUGUUAAGAAUGAAAAUAGUCAUGAUGGUCAGUGUGCCAAUAUUGGAUUUCAAAUUGGCAAUAUAUUUGUGUGAGCAUUCGUUUUUUGGUGUAGUGAAUUGUUUUGAAUCCCUAACCCUUUAUUUGAGGAUGUGUAAAACAAUGUAAUAGUACAAGCCAAGAUUAAGUGUAAGGAUGAAACCAAAAAUAUGCCCCCUACCCAAAAGAGAAAGAAAGGAGAAUAAAGUAAAUGAAAUAUAUUAAAUCAUACAAAGGAAAAAGUUAUGAGAAUUUAAAAAUUGGCAAUGUGGUGAUGUGGAGGAUUGUUGGCUCUUGAGUUUAAUCAUGUACUUUUGCUGAUGGCUACAUGCACAAUCCUGUCACAUAUUAGAUGUAAUGGUUGUUAGUUGAAUUUGAACACAGAGGGAAAUGUACAUGUAGAUGUAUUAUGAACAGCAAUGAAAACUCAUGUUCAAUGUGUUUGAGCUGGUUUUAUUUUGUAUAUCAUGCUUGUAUUUAAUUGUUUUCUUUUGUACCAAAACAGAAAAAAAAAAGGCAUCAUUAUGGAAGUUGUAAUAAAUUAUGAAUUGGUCGAUCUAUGUGUAAAACUUACACUUGUUGAGGCAAAUAUUACACAACAUAAACUGUAGAUUUUUUCUAUGCAAAAAAA
Strongylocentrotus purpuratus (purple sea urchin) is the source of this 11329-nucleotide RNA transcript. It is a transcript of the gene named ST8 alpha-N-acetyl-neuraminide alpha-2,8-sialyltransferase 3, with no coding region annotated. The record is from RefSeq and is a predicted model, not a curated record. The transcript has 9 exons. NCBI's taxonomy places the organism in Eukaryota, Metazoa, Echinodermata, Echinoidea, Camarodonta, Strongylocentrotidae.